This 301-nucleotide ribosomal RNA is filed under the name uncultured bacterium. Its description in RNAcentral is "partial 16S ribosomal RNA". It matches the Rfam family "Bacterial small subunit ribosomal RNA", at positions 509 to 807 of the family's 1533-position model. The record is from RNAcentral.
CAGUAGCCGCGGGAAUACAGAGGGUGCAAGCGUUAAUCGGAAUUACUGGGCGUAAAGCGCGCGUAGGUGGUUUGUUAAGUUGGAUGUGAAAGCCCCGGGCUCAACCUAGGAACUGCAUUCGUGACUGGCAAGCUAGAGUAUGGCAGAGGGGGGUGGAAUUCCACGUGUAGCAGUGAAAUGCGUAGAGAUGUGGAGGAACACCGAUGGCGAAGGCAGCCCCCUGGGCCAAUACUGACGCUCAUGCACGAAAGCGUGGGGAGCAAACAGGAUUAGAUACCCCUGUAGUCCCUGUCUCUUAUAC